UAGGCAGAUAGAAUCUUCAGAUGCCAUUGGUACCUCACAUUGUCUAUCUUCUGGGCUUUCUUACAAGCAGCCCUAUUAGGCAGAUAGAAUCUUCAGAUGCCAUUGGUACCUCACAUUGUCUAUCUUCUGGGCUUUCUUACAAGCAGCCCUAUUAGAUGAACUGUCCAACCUGCUCUCAGCCGUUACCUGAAGGAUCACUCUUCCGAGUUUUGGUCGUGGGACCUAAGGCACGGGAUGCAACA
Long non-coding RNA from Ornithodoros turicata, 242 nucleotides. RefSeq lists it as uncharacterized. Lineage: Eukaryota; Metazoa; Arthropoda; Arachnida; Ixodida; Argasidae. The record is from RefSeq and is a predicted model, not a curated record. The transcript has 3 exons.